RNAcentral lists this non-coding RNA (272 nucleotides) under Rubripirellula reticaptiva. Lineage: Bacteria; Pseudomonadati; Planctomycetota; Planctomycetia; Pirellulales; Pirellulaceae. The record is from RNAcentral.
UGAAUCCCGUCUGAGUAGCUGUUAGCCACAGGCUCAGUAUCGAGUUUUGCAGCGUUGGUAUAAGACGUUUCACGUUGAAGUCCAACGUUGAAGCGUAAACAGAAAGGUAGUGAGGGUGAAAGGUACUGACUGGCUGUCAGGCCCUGAACGAGAUUGAGCUCCGAAAACAUGGUUUCCUGUCGGAUACUGCCCACGGUCUGUGCAUGCCUGAAGGCCACGCUCAACGACGCGUCAAUGGCGAGUGUAGUUGAGAGUCCCGGAGUCGAGGAUCC